Amborella trichopoda is the source of this 4773-nucleotide long non-coding RNA. RefSeq lists it as uncharacterized. The record is from RefSeq and is a predicted model, not a curated record. NCBI's taxonomy places the organism in Eukaryota, Viridiplantae, Streptophyta, Magnoliopsida, Amborellales, Amborellaceae.
CCCCCCCUUUCCACUUUAAACUGAUGUGGUUGGAAGAUAAAUCUAUGGCUGAUGUUGUCCAUCGUUCUUGGGCUACUGUUAUGCCUCAUUACUAGCUAGGUUUCAUUUUGUCCAGCAAGCUUAAGUUAUUGAAGAAUAACCUUAAGCCUUGGGUAGAACCAAAUUUGGUUGUAUUGCUGAUAAUAUUGACAUGCUUGAACGUGAUAUCUCCACCCUUAACUCCUUGGACCAACUUAAUUAGGGUCUUUCUCAGGAUUAGGUGGAUGUUAGAAAUUCUAAAAAACAUGACCUUGAGUACCUUCUUAGACUUCAAUUUUUUUUGGUACCAAAGAUUUAGAUCCAAGUGGGUUAAUGAGGGAGAUAAUAAUACCAAAUAUUUUCAUAUUAUUGCUAAUUUGAGGAAUAAAUCCAACUGUCUUUUUGGUUUAUCUAUUCAGGGUGUUGAUAUGGAUAAUCUGUUAGCUGUUAGUAAUGCUAUUAUCAAUCAUUUUAACCAUGCCUUUUCGUUAGAGACUAGGCUACCCUUUCGACUUCGGGGAUGCACCUUUUAAGGCUCUUUUCAAGGCUUCUGCGGUGACCUUAGAAUGUCAGUUUACUAUUGACAAAAUUAGAGAGGUUGUUUUUUAUCUGCCUAGAGAUAAGGCCCCUGGCCCAUACGGCUUCCCCUUGGCUUUUUUCUAAGAUUCUGGGAGGUCCUUCAGUAUGACAUUGUUGGCUAGUUCAACUUGUGUUUUAUAAUGAUGGGAUUGUGACCAAUGCUAUUAAUUCUACUUUUAUCUCUCUUAUCCCUAAAAAAAGGCAUAUACCUUCCCUUUAUGAUAUUCGACUGAUCAACCUUACAAUGUCAGUUUAUUAUUGACAAAAUUAGAAAGGUUGUUUUUUAUCUGCCUAGAGAUAAGGCCCCUGGCCUAUACGGCUUCCCUUUGGUGACUUUAGAAUGUCAGUUUACUAUUAAUGAAAUUAGAAAGGUUGUUUUUUAUCUGCCUAGAGAUAAGGCCCCUGGCCCAUAUGGCUUCCCCUUGGCUUUUUUCUAAGAGUUCUGGGAGGUCCUUCAGUAUGACAUUGUUUGCUAGUUCAACUUGUGUUUAUAAUGAUGGGAUUGUGACCAAUGCUAUUAAUUCUACUUUUAUCUCUCUUAUCCCUAAAAAAAAUUCAUAUAGCUUCCCUUUUUGAUAUUCAACUGAUCAACCUUCUCUCUAGCAUGUAUAAGAUUUUAGCUAAGGUCCUGGCUAACUGUCUUCGCCUGGUGAUCAAUGAGGUCGUCGAGGGACCUCAAACUGCUUUCAUUAAAGUUUGUUACAUUAUGGACGGUAUCUUGUUUGCUCAAGAGACUAUCCAUACGGCUGAAUCCUUGGGUCUUAGUAGUUUGUUACUGAAGAUUGAUUUCAAAAAGGCAUACGAGCGGGUGGAAUGGGACUACCUUGAUAAUAUUAUGGCUCUCAUGGGCUUUGGCUUGAAAUGGAGAUUACGGAUUAGGGGUUGUCUUUCGUCUGCUCACUUCUCUGUCUUGAUUAAUGGUAAGGCUAAUGGCUACUUCUGUGCCACUAGGGGCCUCAGACAGGGGGAUCCUCUCUCUCCCUUCUUCUUUACCCUUGUGGCUGAAGCUUUCAGUAAAAUGCAACAGGGUUUGGUGGAGUCUAAUUCAUUAAGGGCUUGCCCCCUUGGCCCAAUGGCAGUUGAUUAAUCAUCUAUAAUAUGCAGAUGACACUCUGAUCCUUUUAGAGGGAUCUGAUGAUAAUGUCCAUAAUAUCUGGCUUUUGCUUUAUGAACUUUUUCUUAAGCUUUAUGAAUUAAUUUCAGGGGCUUGUAUCAAUAUGGAUAAGUCCACGCUAUUGGGUAUUAAUUGUUCCACCACUUCUAUCUCUAACUGGGUUUCUUGGCUCGAAUGUGGGGUGGAGCAAUUUCCUACCAAAUAUCUGGGCGUGCCCCUUCUUAAUAGCAGUGCUCCGAGAUCCCUUUGGGAUCCUCUCAUUCAUAGAGCAUAGACUAAAUUGGACGGUUGGAAGGCCUGAUACAUGUCCUUUGCUGGCAGAAUGACUUUGAUCAAUGCUACUCUUUCUAACACCUCUAUUUAUUACGUCUCUCUCUUUCAGGCGCUUGCGGCUGUUAUUGCUAAAAUUGAAGCUUUAUUAUGCAAUUUUCUUUGGAACGGAUCCCAUAAUAAGAAAAGUUGCAUCUAGUCAGAUGGGAGUCGGUAUGCCAAUCAAAAGUGAUGGGGGGUUUGGGUAUACAGAGACUUAAGAGCAGUCAAUGACUCAUUGCUUGCCAAAUGGUGGUGGAGGCUGUCCAUACAUGGAGACCAACUCUGGGCUAAGGUUAUCCUUGGCAAAUAUGGUUUGGAACCUGAUGGUCGCUAUGCAAGAAGAAGAUCGGUCUCAUGUCACAUUUCCAUGGUUUGGAAAGGUAUUAAAGGCGUUACAAUCCUCUUUUUGGCCCUACUCUAGGUGGUUGGUUGGAGAUGGUCGAAAUACUAGAUUUUGGCAUGCCAAGUGGCUGAGGGAAUAUCCUCUUAAAAUGGUGUUUCCUGCCCUCUAGACCAAAUUCAACCAGAAAAGAACUAUGGUUACAGACAUGGUUGCCCUUGUUCAAGGAAAACCGGUUUGGAAUGUUACCAUUUCUACUAGAAGAGUAGACCAUCAAGUUGAAGCCCAAUUCCUGACUCUCAUGGAUUCUUUGUAUUCAUUUUGUUUCAAUCCUUGGAAGAGAGACAUGUUCAUUUGGAGCCUUGAGCCUUUGGGUUACUUCUCUAUCAAAUCUCUCUAUAAAGAAAUUUGGAAGGAUAGGUACCUUGAGGAUAAAAGGUAUCUUGCCAAAAUUUGGAAGUGCAAGGCACCCCUCAGAGUUAGAGCUUUCAUGUGCCUUUUUCCAUACAGGAGAUUGCUCAUUGUCGAUCAAUUGCACCAAAGAGGUAUGAUUAUUAUCAAUGUUUGCCUGAUGUGCAAGGAGGACGAGGAAACCAUGACCAUUUAUUUCUGAGAUGCAAGCAUGCUGCUGCCAUCUAAGAAUGGGUUGAUAGUCUGACGGCCUGGCAUGGACCUUGGCCACAUGAUGCCAAAAAAUUUCUACAACAACUUUGGACCCCACCCUUUACCUUCUAGGUCGUCAACUUUGGAGAAUUACUAUUGCUGCCUCUUUGUGGACCUUGUAGAAAACUCGCGAACUUUCGAGGGUCUCUCCAGGGACUCUUCAUCCUUAAUUUCCGACAUUCAGCCUUGACCAUCAUGUGGGUUUAUGCCUCUCUUCCCCUCAUGGUCGUUCCUAAUCUGCUUCUUUCUCUUCCUUUAACGAUAUUUUAUUUCUUAUACCAAGGUUUCCAAGAUGAAUUGGUGUGGGACUCUGAAUGUGGUGAUAUUUUUUCUAUUAGAUCCACUUACAAUCUUUUGUGUCAUGAUAGGAUCAGAUGGAAUAGGGGCUCAAUGCGUAAGCUAUGGUCUUGGAGGAUACUACAAAAGGUGAAAGUUUUCCUGUGGGUGUUGUUCCAAGGGAAAUGUUUGACAGUGGACAAUCUUAUCAAAAGAGAAGGUAGGAAGCAUGAUCUUUUAGAUAUGAAGGGCUGCAACCUUUGGGAGAUAUGGCUAGAAAGGAAUAGAAGGGUGUUUGAGGGAUUGAGUUUGGAGGGGGAUUUAGUGAAAAAGGAAAUCUAGCAUACAAUUUGGAAUUUGUUUCUGAUUACAAGUGAAGGAUUUGGGAUAUCUAAAGUGGACAUGGAAAUGAAUGUUAGGAAUUUAAUGUUGCAAAAGAUGGUGAAGGUGAGACAUAAAGGGAGGUGGGUAGCUCCUUCAGUGAGUUGUUUAAAGCUGAAUUGUGAUGGUAGUUCCUUAGGGAAUCCGGGGCCGGCAGACGUUGGUGGAGUAUUGAGGAAUCAUCUCGGUGAACGUAUAUUUUGUUUUGCUGGGCCUUGUGGUUCUAAAACAACAAAUGAGGCGGAGAUGGUUGCUGUGAUACAAGGAUUGAAAAUUAUCAGGGGAUCAAGGAAUACAAGGUUGUUGCGUGGAAGAUGAGAUCGGAAUGGAUGAAAAUAAUGGACCUUAUUCGUGAUAUGACAAUUUAUUUCCAACAUAUUUACAGAGAAGGCAAUGAAGUGGCUGAUUCUUUGGCAAAGAGAGGAGGUUUGAUGCAGGAUCUAUUGACUUCUGAUGUUUUUUCUAAUGCACUGUAACCGAAAUUAAUCAAUAAAGUUACGAAACAUUUGUCAAAAAAAAUAUUUCUUAAACAUCGUCGAAUGUCCAUUCGAUGUGUGUGGUUUAAACCACCGGAUGGCUGACUGAAAUUGAAUUUUGAUGGUAGUGUAAGGGGGUAAGGCCUGGUUAUGGUGGUUUUCUCCGUGACCACAAUGGUUCCGUCAUUUGGUCUUAUUCAGGUACCCUUCACACCUGUGAGAUCAAUGAAGCUGAGUUUCGGGCAGCUAAAAUGGGAGUUUCACGUCAUGCUCAGUCCCAAAGGAAGAUUAUCAUUGGAGGUCACUCAGCAUAUACGGUCUUAUGGUGCGCCCAGCCCUCCCGGGUACCUUGGAGACUGAGUGUCAUUAUGGAAGAAAUCCUUCUCAGGAUUGAAGACAAGGAAUGCGUCUUCGUCCAUGUUUAUAGAAGCGCCAACUCUAAUGCUGAUUUGUUGGCUAAACUGACUACUGGUUAAUUUUGUCUUAGAUGUUGUUUUGAGCGCUUGGUGCUAACUUUCCCUUCCUGUUUGAUUUUGGUUUCUUGUUUCCUUUAUUUUCUUUUGACCUUUAUGUAGUACUUCUUCAUUAUCUUAAUGAAUGUCGCAUUUUCUAUA